This 171-nucleotide ribosomal RNA is filed under the name fungal sp. RNAcentral describes it as "partial small subunit ribosomal RNA". The stretch from base 57 to 171 matches the Rfam family "Eukaryotic small subunit ribosomal RNA", at positions 1667 to 1779 of the family's 1831-position model. Lineage: Eukaryota; Fungi. The record is from RNAcentral.
AGUUAAAGUCAUAGUCGGUCUUGCUUUGUGAAGAAGCCGAGAGUAAAUGUUGUACACACCGCCCGUCGCUACUACCGAUUGAAUGGCUCAGUGAGGCCUUGGGACUGGCUCAGAGAGGUCGGCAACGACCACUCAGAGCCGGAAACUUGGUCAAACUUGGUCAUUUAGAGG